This is a long non-coding RNA of Gasterosteus aculeatus aculeatus (three-spined stickleback), 2002 nucleotides long. NCBI's taxonomy places the organism in Eukaryota, Metazoa, Chordata, Actinopteri, Perciformes, Gasterosteidae. The record is from Ensembl.
GUUUUAAUUUGUUUUAUUUUAUUAGAACUUAUGGGUAUUGUUCUUUAUCAUAAUAUACGCUUGUUGCUAUUGAUUAAAAUGUUUUUAUUCCUUAAAGUAUGAUUCAUUGUAUUCAGUUAUAACUUAUGAGCACUGUGCCUCUGUUGGGGUAUCGGUCGGGGUAUCACAUGUCUCACUCCGCACCAGUAGGUGGCAGCACCACAUCACCGCUGACACUGUUAGUUCCGGAAAGCAAAGCAUUGUGGGUGUUUAAUAGUAUAAAUUGCAACGUGUUCCCUCCGUUGGAACGUAGUCGACGGCGAUAGGUCUUAAGAGUAGGGCGCAGUUCGUAGCUCUGAAUAUUUAGUAAAUACUUCUUUUAGUUUGUUACUUUUCAUAUUCGAAAAGAUAACAGCUUGUUGGAUAACCCUAUCCUUAAUAUUUUUUAACACUUUUGACUCCGAGGAAGAUCUUUUUUGUUUUAAACGAAAGCCGCCAAGUCACCCUCGUCGCCAUUUUUUCCUCUACUGCAGUUUUUUGGUCGGAGAUGUGUGUAGAAGCAAUGGACACCAGCUCGAAGAAGUUGAGAAACAGCUGUCUGCGUAAAACCAUGAAACCAGGAUCGAAGCUGAGGUGGAUACGGCCCCGCGUCUUCGCGGAGGACGGUGAGGUGGACGAGGCCUUGAAGCAGUGUCGAGGCAGCGCGUUGAGGACCAUCCGGAAAUACCUUGGGCGGGCGCCGAGGCGGCCGCGGCUGGCUGAUCUGGCUGAACUCCUGGGAGGCAUCGGCGGGAAGGCCAAAAUGGAGUCCGCGCGCGAGGAAGGGCGCGUUGCGGCCUGCGCGCACCGCCAACCGUCGGGGGCAAUGGCGCCGGAAAACACCACGCAGUACCUGAUGGGACUGCGACGAGGACGGCUGCCUUGCCUUCCAACAGCGGGACUUUGAGGAAGCGUUUGAGCUGUAUUGGCAACCGGAAUGAACCGGUCUGCGUGGCCUUGCGUUACUGGUCUGGCCUCGCUUCCAGCUGUGACUUUACGAUAUGGGCAAAGAACAAGCGGCGCACUGGGUGGUGCCCGCACCCUCCCUCCAGUAGGGAGCGCUCCUGAGCACUUCAUGGCGCCGCCUCGAGGAACGAAUCAAACGCACCCUGUCCACGGAUUGUGAAAUCCAGGUAAAGCCGGGCAGGUAUUGUUGCACUGCAUUGUCGAUGACUGGCAACCGUAGUACACUGUGAUGCAUUGUGGGGGACAGCAUUGUGCUGUCCAGUUACUGUUGUCUGAGCGUUUUCCAGGUCAACCUGACGGGACACAUGGCUCUGCCGUGAGAGGAGCAGGAGACCGAGGAGGUUGGUCUUCACGUGAUUGACACAAGGUGACAUUCAAUGCCCAUUGGGUUGUCUAGACUGUUUCCAUGGAGAUGAGUUCGUGGGGGGGGGAUGUGGAAUUCCAGGCAAAGUACUGGAUUUUUUUUUUAAUUCAAUGGUUAAGGUGUGUGUAUAUAAUAUAGUUUAAGUGACACAUGUUCAAUAAAUGAUAUUUUUUAUGACAUCUGAUUGACUCGUCUGUCUGUUUUGCUCAAUGGUACAAUUUCAUGAAGAGAUCGAUUGGCCUUGUGGAAGGUCUGAUACUCAAAUGUUUUUAGUUGAAUCGUGAAUCAAGUUUGCCCACCGCUGGAAGUGGUCCCUGUGAGAAUUUCCAUUCCCAAUGUUAUCCAUGAAUCAUUGGCCCCCUUCUCGAAGGAAAGGUGAAAAAAAAUCAUUGUUGCCAAGUAGGGAUGGGGCCGAUCCAGUAUCGGUAUCAAUUUCUCUGGUAUCGGAAGAAAUUCGAUACAAAUAUAGAAAUUUCCGAUACAACCUUUGGAGUUUCCCGAUAUCAAUGAGCCAUGUCUGCGCUUUAACGUCGUCUGGUGAAAUGACUCCAAAAGGGAUCCCCGUCUGCUAGUCUGCUAGCUGGCUGCAAACUGGAAUGGAUUUCCUGAGCGUCUCAUAUAACUGUCUCGUUGAGCCGCGCCUCCGUUCAGGAA